GGGACCGGGGGGGAGCACCCGCGCACCCACGAGGGUCCCUGUGGGGUUACCAGGGUCGCGACGAGCCACCGACGCCCCACCACCUGGGCAGGGAGCUGGGGACCCACAGCAGCGCCUGGACCAGACCUAGGUGCGUCUUGAGGUGGCAGCGCUGUUCCGGGGUGGGGGAACCCCCUCCGUGUGCCGGCAGUAAACAGGAUACGAGCGGCUGCGGUGGGGAGGCAGCGGCAGCAUCGCCCCAGCCCCGCUGAGAGCCGCGGGAUGAUCGCGGGGGAUCAUCCCCAGCGGCCCCGAGGUCCCUCUCCAGAUGUUGGCAUCGCUGGUGCAUGCCCGGCACGCUGAGCCCCCCAGGCAAGCGGAGCCCCCCGAUUCUCAGCGCCCACCUAAACCAGCGCCCCAGGGUGCCCCCGGGGUGUCCCCCCACCCCGCCAUGGCGCUGGAGGUGGGGGCCGAGGCGCUGUUGGACCUGAGCUUCCUGACGGAGGAGGAGCGAUGUGCCAUCGCAGAGGUGCUGCGCCGCGA
Empidonax traillii (willow flycatcher) is the source of this 522-nucleotide long non-coding RNA. RefSeq lists it as uncharacterized. The transcript is spliced from 3 exons. Lineage: Eukaryota; Metazoa; Chordata; Aves; Passeriformes; Tyrannidae. The record is from RefSeq and is a predicted model, not a curated record.